RNAcentral lists this long non-coding RNA (1149 nucleotides) under Chrysolophus pictus (golden pheasant). Its description in RNAcentral is "lncRNA (ENSCPIG00010007613.1)". Lineage: Eukaryota; Metazoa; Chordata; Aves; Galliformes; Phasianidae. The record is from RNAcentral.
ACAGGAUGUGGGGCGUUGGGGGGGGUCCCUGAGAAUACAGGUUGUCCCUUUGUUGGGGGGCUGACUGGAAAUAGUGGCUCCUGAUGAGAGCUGAGUCUGCCAAAUUCAUGACACGUGAUCUGAUCCAACUCUGUGCUGGCUGUGGGUGCACCCACUCCUAAACAGCAUAGGUUUGUAUGGAAGUGCCCAGAGCUGUGUCCCACAGGGAGGGGUUGGGAGACUUGGGGCUGUCCCUGCCCUUCAAUGUCCCUUCAUUAUCCCCCCAUCGUCCCCUGUCCUGUCCCUACAGCCGGGCCAUCCGUGCGCUGCAGGACGCUGCGCCUGCGGCUGGAGGAGAGCCUGCACCGGUCUCACAGCUACCCUGAGGGCAGAGCCCCCCACACCCCCAAGGGGAGGAGGCAGCCAGCGGCCAGCAGAGCUUCAUUUCUCCGGGAUGCAGCACCCAUGGGGGAGCAGACCCCCACUGCGCGGGGCAGGAUGACCCCGGGCGGCCCCAGAGGCAGAUGGGCAUCGCUGCCACGGGAUGGGACUCCGGCAGACUUCACCUCCCAGUCGGACCGCUCGCUGCGUGCGCACGGUGACAGCCGUCCCCGAGCCGCCCCGUCCGCUCACAAACGCCCUCGCAGCCCUUUGGGUGCGAUGUCACUGCGGGGACAGCAGGCGGCUGAACGCCGAGAGCCCGACCCGCUGGAUAACGCACACGGUCGCACCGACGCCGCGUUCGGGGGGACGCAUUACCGCGUGGCACCGCCCCGUGGGGAGCCGAGCGCUGCGCCGUGCCCCCGCUGCCACCCCGACGGGACAACGACGGGUGCCCCAUCAGCCGACGCCACGCGGUCGCAGCGCAGCAGCACCGCCAGGACCCCCGAGCGCUGCCCAACGUGCCGGGCAUCACGCGGUGACACGGACAGAGCCGGGCACGCACAGCGCAGCAAAUCGGACGGCAAAUCCCCGCCGGAGCCCCGCAGCCGCCCCCAGGCCGUGCAGCCGGAGCGGCCCGCAGGGUGUUGGUACUUGGCGGGGGGGCCUCCCGUCGCCUACCUCGCCCCCGUCCCCGUGGUGNNNNNNNNNNNNNNNNNNNNNNNNNNNNNNNGGGGGGCGGGGGGGAGGGGAACAGGGGGGGAAGGAUUGGUGAGCUGGGGGGCUUAA